This 497-nucleotide ribosomal RNA is filed under the name uncultured bacterium. Its description in RNAcentral is "partial 16S ribosomal RNA". It matches the Rfam family "Bacterial small subunit ribosomal RNA", at positions 28 to 507 of the family's 1533-position model. The record is from RNAcentral.
GAUGAACGCUGGCGGCGUGCCUAAUACAUGCAAGUCGAGCGAACAGACGAGGAGCUUGCUCCUCUGACGUUAGCGGCGGACGGGUGAGUAACACGUGGAUAACCUACCUAUAGGACUGGGAUAACUUCGGGAAACCGGAGCUAAUACCGGAUAAUAUAUUGAACUGCAUGGUUCAAUAGUGAAAGACGGUUUUGCUGUCACUUAUAGAUGGAUCCGCGCCGCAUUAGCUAGUUGGUAAGGUAACGGCUUACCAAGGCAACGAUGCGUAGCCGACCUGAGAGGGUGAUCGGCCACACUGGAACUGAGACACGGUCCAGACUCUUACGGGAGGCAGCAGUAGGGAAUCUUCCGCAAUGGGCGAAAGCCUGACGGAGCAACGCCGCGUGAGUGAUGAAGGUCUUCGGAUCGUAAAACUCUAUUAUUAGGGAAGAACAAAUGUGUAAGUAACUAUGCACGUCUUGACGGUACCUAAUCAGAAAGCCACGGCUAACUACGUG